AGGGAUCAUUACAAGUGACCCCGGCUACGGCCGGGAUGUUCAUAACCCUUUGUUGUCCGACUCUGUUGCCUCCGGGGCGACCCUGCCUUCGGGCGGGGGCUCCGGGUGGACACUUCAAACUCUUGCGUAACUUUGCAGUCUGAGUAAACUUAAUUAAUAAAUUAAAACUUUUAACAACGGAUCUCUUGGUUCUGGCAUCGAUGAAGAACGCAGCGAAAUGCGAUAAGUAAUGUGAAUUGCAGAAUUCAGUGAAUCAUCGAAUCUUUGAACGCACAUUGCGCCCCCUGGUAUUCCGGGGGGCAUGCCUGUUCGAGCGUCAUUUCACCACUCAAGCCUCGCUUGGUAUUGGGCAACGCGGUCCGCCGCGUGCCUCAAAUCGUCCGGCUGGGUCUUCUGUCCCCUAAGCGUUGUGGAAACUAUUCGCUAAAGGGUGUUCGGGAGGCUACGCCGUAAAACAACCCCAUUUCUAAGGUUGACCUCGGAUCAGGUAGGGAUACCCGCUGAACUUAA
RNAcentral lists this ribosomal RNA (510 nucleotides) under Cladosporium cladosporioides. Its description in RNAcentral is "eukaryotic LSU rRNA". The stretch from base 166 to 319 matches the Rfam family "5.8S ribosomal RNA". Lineage: Eukaryota; Fungi; Ascomycota; Dothideomycetes; Cladosporiales; Cladosporiaceae. The record is from RNAcentral.